AAGUCGUAACAAGGUUUCCGUAGGUGAACCUGCGGAAGGAUCAUUAACAACAUAUCCUAACUUAAAAACCCUGUGACCCAAACUGCUUGAUCCCAGUACCUCAGCAAUCUCUGGUAAAUCAUAGUGAACAGCUUUGAUUCGGAGACCUCUGAAUAACCUUGGGCGGUCGCGGUUGGUAAGGCAAGUGACCCGGUACCCUCAAGACCAGUGUUCAAUGAUCUGUCAGUGUUCAUUGACUGGAAUCAAACGUUCUGUCAGUGUGCGUUUGAUUUGCAAGGGUGGCGCAGUAAACGAUCGCUGGAGGCCGACACGGCCGGCGACUGGGUCAGCGAGCUUUGCUCCCACUGUUACUACUUACAAGAUUUCCCAAUUAGUGAAAGCUAUUGGGCUAUAACUAAACGACUGUUAACAAUGGAUAUCUCGAUUCUC
This 429-nucleotide unclassified non-coding RNA is filed under the name fungal sp. Its description in RNAcentral is "partial internal transcribed spacer region". The stretch from base 1 to 46 matches the Rfam family "Eukaryotic small subunit ribosomal RNA", at positions 1786 to 1831 of the family's 1831-position model. Lineage: Eukaryota; Fungi. The record is from RNAcentral.